GACAGAGGGUGCAAACGUUGCUCGGAAUCACUGGGCGUAAAGGGCGUGUAGGCGGAUCGGCAAGUCGGGCGUGAAAUCCCUGGGCUCAACCCCAGGAACUGCACUCGAAACUGCCUUUCUUGAGUGCCGGAGAGGAAAGCGGAAUACCUGGUGUAGAGGUGAAAUUCGUAGAUAUCAGGUGGAACACCAGUGGCGAAGGCGGCUUUCUGGACGGUAACUGACGCUGAGACGCGAAAGCGUGGGGAGCAAACAGG
This 254-nucleotide ribosomal RNA is filed under the name uncultured bacterium. RNAcentral's name for it is "partial 16S ribosomal RNA". It matches the Rfam family "Bacterial small subunit ribosomal RNA", at positions 524 to 776 of the family's 1533-position model. The record is from RNAcentral.